GCUGAUAGGGGUACGAUGAUUAAUAAAAGAAUAAGAGCAAUUAAUCUUGAGCGCAAGCUUCAAAGUGCUGGAGGCUUAAGAAGUUGGCUGGUUUCAAGGGGCUUUGAACAUUUUGUGAACAUCUUUCAGACCAAGAGUAUUAACAAGUAUCAAUUGGCAAAUCUAACCAUGGAAAAGCUCAAGGAGAUGGGUUCGCACGCUGUUGGUCCUAGGAGAAAACUGAUACAUGCUAUUGACUGCCUUUGUCGUCCAUGCUGUUUUGAUCAUCCAAA
Molecule: unclassified non-coding RNA, 272 nt
Filed under: Hevea brasiliensis (rubber tree)
Lineage: Eukaryota; Viridiplantae; Streptophyta; Magnoliopsida; Malpighiales; Euphorbiaceae
Source: RNAcentral